CGAGCGGAAGGCCCUUCGGGGUACUCGAGCGGCGAACGGGUGAGUAACACGUGAGCAACCUGCCCCUGACUCUGGGAUAAGCCCGGGAAACUGGGUCUAAUACCGGAUAUGACCGGCUUUCGCAUGGGAUGCUGGUGGAAAGAUUUUUCGGUUGGGGAUGGGCUCGCGGCCUAUCAGCUUGUUGGUGGGGUAGUGGCCUACCAAGGCGACGACGGGUAGCCGGCCUGAGAGGGCGACCGGCCACACUGGGACUGAGACACGGCCCAGACUCCUACGGGAGGCAGCAGUGGGGAAUAUUGCGCAAUGGGCGAAAGCCUGACGCAGCGACGCCGCGUGGGGGAUGACGGCCUUCGGGUUGUAAACCUCUUUCAGCAGGGACGAAGUUGACGUGUACCUGCAGAAGAAGCGCCGGCUAACUACGUGCCAGCAGCCGCGGUAAUACGUAGGGCGCGAGCGUUGUCCGGAAUUAUUGGGCGUAAAGAGCUCGUAGGUGGCUGGUCGCGUCUGCCGUGAAAGCCCGCAGCUUAACUGCGGGUCUGCGGUGGAUACGGGCCGGCUAGAGGUAGGCAGGGGCAAGUGGAAUUCCUGGUGUAGCGGUGAAAUGCGCAGAUAUCAGGAGGAACACCGGUGGCGAAGGCGGCUUGCUGGGCCUUACCUGACGCUGAGGAGCGAAAGCGUGGGGAGCGAACAGGAUUAGAUACCCUGGUAGUCCACGCUGUAAACGUUGGGCGCUAGGUGUGGGGGUCUUCCACGAUCUCCGUGCCGGAGCUAACGCAUUAAGCGCCCCGCCUGGGGAGUAC
RNAcentral lists this ribosomal RNA (800 nucleotides) under Nonomuraea sp. RNAcentral describes it as "bacterial SSU rRNA". It matches the Rfam family "Bacterial small subunit ribosomal RNA", at positions 63 to 883 of the family's 1533-position model. The record is from RNAcentral. Lineage: Bacteria; Bacillati; Actinomycetota; Actinomycetes; Streptosporangiales; Streptosporangiaceae.